GUUCUGGUGAUCGGACCGGUGCUUUGGCACUAGACGGCCUAGACUUGGAAUCGAGACCACCACCACUUUCAGCCGUGUAGCUGACAUUGAACAAGUUACUCAACCCCUCUCCAAGCUUCACGUUCCCCAGGGCAAGCUUGGAAGCCAGGCACUGAAGAUGACAAAGGUUCCAUCAGCCAAACUCAUGAAAGAGGGACAGCCUGACACCCUGCUGACCUAACCUGUUCUGGUACAUGAGCGAGAAAUAAACUUCUAUUGUGUGUAAACCAGACUCCAUUGUUUGGCUCUCCUGGUGAUAGCAGUGAGGCUACCCUUCCAGAAGGGCAGAGCUGACUACAGUCCCAUCCAGAUCUGACAGAGGGGCUUGGCUCUCAGUUAUUCACAGAGAAAAUUGCUGUGGAAUGGAAACUUCCAUUCUCCCAUUUAGGAAAAUCCGUUUCUCUCUUGAGAGACUAGGGAAAACAAUGGGAUUGGGUGGGACCUGGGUUAACAACCUAUCUGACAAGAUUUUCACGCUCUUUGCGAUGGAGGCAAGAGUGGGGAGGUCAGUGAACACACAGAUCCGCUGCACUUAAGACCCCCACGAACCCUUACAACUCCCAAGCACCCAAAGGCGUUAGGAUAUGGGAUGUGGGAGACGAGAGGAUGGAAGGGAAAAGCGAGCAAGAGCUAUACAUGUGCCAGUCAGAUUGUGAGCUCAGGAUGAGAAAUCUGUGCAUGGAAAAUACUUGCAUAUAAAACAACUUUUAUGAUUAAAUAAAUAACUUUUACGUGUGUAAACCAUCA
Long non-coding RNA from Neofelis nebulosa (Clouded leopard), 786 nucleotides. RefSeq lists it as uncharacterized. The transcript is spliced from 2 exons. The record is from RefSeq and is a predicted model, not a curated record. Lineage: Eukaryota; Metazoa; Chordata; Mammalia; Carnivora; Felidae.